GAUGAACGCUGGCGGCGUGCUUAACACAUGCAAGUCGAACGAUGAUGCCCAGCUUGCUGGGUGGAUUAGUGGCGAACGGGUGAGUAACACGUGAGUAACCUGCCCUUGACUCUGGGAUAAGCCUGGGAAACUGGGUCUAAUACCGGAUACGACCAUCUGGCGCAUGUCAUGUUGGUGGAAAGCUUUUGUGGUUUUGGAUGGACUCGCGGCCUAUCAGCUUGUUGGUGGGGUAAUGGCCUACCAAGGCGACGACGGGUAGCCGGCCUGAGAGGGUGACCGGCCACACUGGGACUGAGACACGGCCCAGACUGCUACGGGAGGCAGCAGUGGGGAAUAUUGCACAAUGGGCGCAAGCCUGAUGCAGCGACGCCGCGUGAGGGAUGACGGCCUUCGGGUUGUAACCCUCUUUCAGUAGGGAAGAAGCGACAGUGACGGUACCUGAAGAAGAAGCGACGGCUAACUACGUG
RNAcentral lists this ribosomal RNA (467 nucleotides) under uncultured bacterium. RNAcentral's name for it is "partial 16S ribosomal RNA". It matches the Rfam family "Bacterial small subunit ribosomal RNA", at positions 28 to 507 of the family's 1533-position model. The record is from RNAcentral.